Molecule: transfer RNA, 72 nt
Filed under: Phrynosoma platyrhinos (Desert horned lizard)
Lineage: Eukaryota; Metazoa; Chordata; Lepidosauria; Squamata; Phrynosomatidae
Description: tRNA-OTHER
Source: RNAcentral
GCCAGAGAGGUGUAGUGGUUUGAAUAUUGGACUACGACUCUGGAGAUCAGGGUUCAGAUCCCUGCUUGGCCA